This 501-nucleotide ribosomal RNA is filed under the name uncultured bacterium. Its description in RNAcentral is "partial 16S ribosomal RNA". It matches the Rfam family "Bacterial small subunit ribosomal RNA", at positions 899 to 1397 of the family's 1533-position model. The record is from RNAcentral.
ACUCAAAUGAAUUGACGGGGACCCGCACAAGCGGUGGAGCAUGUGGAUUAAUUCGAUACUAACCGAAGAACCUUACCCAGGUUUGACAUCGAUCGCAACUCCCAGAAAAGGGAGCCUCCCCCACAAGGGGACGUGAAGACACUUGUUGCAUGGCUGUCGUCAGCUCGUGCCGUGAGGUGUACGGUUAAGUCCGCCAACGAGCGCAACCCUCGUCCUGUGUUACCAGCAUGAAAGAUGGGAACUCACAGGAGACCGCCGGUGUAAGCCGGAGGAAGGUGAGGAUGACGUCAAGUCGGCAUGGCAGUUACGCCUGGGGCUUCACACAUGCUACAAUGGAUGAAACAAAGGGCAGCAAUACCGCGAGGUGGAGCAAAUCCCAAAAAUACAUCCUCAGUUCAGAUUGUAGUCUGCAACUCGACUACAUAAAGUCGGAAUCGCUAGUAAACGCAGGUCAGCUAUACUGCGUUGAAUACGUUCCCGGGUCUUGCACACACCGCCCGU